This 171-nucleotide ribosomal RNA is filed under the name uncultured Basidiomycota. RNAcentral describes it as "partial 18S ribosomal RNA". It matches the Rfam family "Eukaryotic small subunit ribosomal RNA", at positions 1661 to 1831 of the family's 1831-position model. The record is from RNAcentral. Lineage: Eukaryota; Fungi; Basidiomycota.
UGUACACACCGCCCGUCGCUCCUACUGAUUGAAUGCUCCGGUGAAACGUCGGGAGAGCGCUUCGAUAUCAGCAAUGGUUGAAGAGUGCUCGAACUUCCUUAAAUUGUAGUAUUUAGAAGAAGGAGAAGUCGUAACAAGGUUUCCGUAGGUGAACCUGCGGAAGGAUCAUUA